CAGGUUUCCCGACUUUUCUUUUGACAAAAAAGUUCAAUUUGUAGGGAAAAUGCAUAAAUUAAUUCAAGCUACAAGAGUGUAGGUCUAAUGACAAUCUCCAAAUGUCAUUACACCUACAAGUGUUGGUGUUUUGUAACAGAUCUCUUUGCAUUCAUCCAAUGGCUGGUGCACUGUUUGGAUAUUGGAAUUAUUUUGGGGAUGGUUCGGUAUGAUUCCUUUGGUUUUCCAUAAAAAGCUGGGAAAAAAGCUUCCCUGUGGUAGGCUAAGUGGUUAACAUGAUACGCCUCCGCCUGUAGUAUUUGAUGGGCGGGGUAAAUUUGUACAGUUGAAGCUGCUUUACUCAACUCUGCCUCACAACUAAAGAGUUAAGUUAGCUUCUUAGCUAGUUCUAAAAAGCUUUAGUGUUAUUAGCCGUAGCCUAUUUAGCAAGCUCGAAUCUGCCAUGCGACGAUUUAUAUCAGAAAUGGACUUCGCCAAACAAAUCCAAGAGAGGAAAAAGAGCAAUGAGCAGCAUCAAACUACCAAGCCCAGCAGUGAUGAUGUUGCCGAGCUCCAGCUAGCUCCGCGUGCAGAGCCUACCCACCCAGGAUAAUGGCUCCACAGCCCCGCUGACUGUUCCUGACAAUCUUGGAACAGAGUAGCCAGCCCAGGAGCUGGGUAGGAUAUAGGCGCUGAAGUCAGGCUCAUUCAUGACCUGUAUCUGUGACGAGGGGGAUCUGGAGCUGAUCUAUGCUAACAUGCCAAACAUCUCAGAAAGGACAAAAGAUGGAGGACAGAAGUGUCCUCUGACUGAAAGACAGGUUGAUACUGAUGUCUGAAUUGGGACAGACCUUGCACUCAAGCAUUAAAAUUAUAAAAGACAUCGA
Oncorhynchus keta (chum salmon) is the source of this 866-nucleotide long non-coding RNA. RefSeq lists it as uncharacterized. Lineage: Eukaryota; Metazoa; Chordata; Actinopteri; Salmoniformes; Salmonidae. The transcript has 3 exons. The record is from RefSeq and is a predicted model, not a curated record.